Molecule: long non-coding RNA, 494 nt
Filed under: Olea europaea (common olive)
Lineage: Eukaryota; Viridiplantae; Streptophyta; Magnoliopsida; Lamiales; Oleaceae
Description: long non-coding RNA (OEUR_LNC004032)
Source: RNAcentral
AGCUUGCUGCCCGUUUCUUACUAUGUGUGUGUGUGAUUUGGAGUGAAAAAUGGGUCAAAUGUUGAAUAUAAAUUCCACUUAUUCAAAAAUUGCAAGGAAAGUCCUCCAACUCCAUUUUUAUAUCACAUUUAAUCCUAAACUUCCAAAAAUAUAUAAGUAAAAUCCAAACUUUGAAAUGUAUCCAAUUUAACCUUCAUACUUUGUCAAUUACAAAAUAAACCCAAAUAAAAUGAUUUGGUCAAUCAAGUCCCAAUAAAAAUGAUUUAUUUCAUACAAGUCCUCAUUUGACUUGACUUUGAAAAUUCCACUAUUGACUUUGACUAGAUAAAAAUGUGGGUUGUAACAAUCUUACCUCCUUAAAAGAAUUUCGUCCUCGAAAUUCAACUGGCAACUGACUAGGCAAUGAAUAAACGAGGAUAUUGAGCACGCAUCUGAUCCUCGUUCUCCCAUGUAGCCUCUUCUACUGUCUGAUUCUGCCAAAGUACUUUAACAAG